CCUACGGGAGGCAGCAGUGAGGAAUAUUGGUCAAUGGACGAGAGUCUGAACCAGCCAAGUAGCGUGAAGGAUGACUGCCCUAUGGGUUGUAAACCUCUUUUAUGCGGGGAUAAAGGUGUCCACGUGUGGAUGUUUGCAGGUACCGCAUGAAUAAGGACCGGCUAAUUCCGUGCCAGCAGCCGCGGUAAUACGGAAGGUCCGGGCGUUAUCCGGAUUUAUUGGGUUUAAAGGGAGCGUAGGCGGACUGUUAAGUCAGCGGUAAAAGCCCGGGGCUCAACCCCGGCGAGCCGUUGAAACUGGCUGUCUUGAGAUGUCGAGAGGUAUGCGGAAUGCGCAGUGUAGCGGUGAAAUGCUUAGAUAUUGCGCAGAACUCCGAUUGCGAAGGCAGCAUACCGGCGGCGAUCUGACGCUGAGGCACGAAAGCGUGGGUAUCGAACAGGAUUAGAUACCCGAGUAGUC
This 459-nucleotide ribosomal RNA is filed under the name uncultured bacterium. RNAcentral's name for it is "partial 16S ribosomal RNA". It matches the Rfam family "Bacterial small subunit ribosomal RNA", at positions 338 to 795 of the family's 1533-position model. The record is from RNAcentral.